RNAcentral lists this unclassified non-coding RNA (689 nucleotides) under Hevea brasiliensis (rubber tree). The record is from RNAcentral. Lineage: Eukaryota; Viridiplantae; Streptophyta; Magnoliopsida; Malpighiales; Euphorbiaceae.
UAAAAUUGCAGGACAAGGAUACCUAUUUUAUUGAUAUAAGUCCAAUUCAAAUAAUCAAGCAUUCAAUUCUUACAAUACAAUGGGCAUAAUUUCCCAAAAGAAAGAAGAAAAUAUAAUAAAACUGUACAGAAUCACUAUGCUAAAUGACAUCCCUGUAUGAUUAUCCUUAAUUUUAAUGAUUCUGGAGAUACUGCUUAUGCGAUCGGCUUUUCUUUUCAUCCUAUGCUCUGAUGAUUUAUAUGAAAAACGAUGAGAUCAUAUUUCACGGAGUACUCAAAACAUGGUUGCCAGGUUCCCUCGGCCAUACUCAUGCAUUAAGCAAAACAACUUACUGAAAUCUGUAUAAAUAUAUUCUAUUCUGAAUGGUAAUCUGCAUAUGAGAUCUAAUGCCAUUAAUCACACAGCUUAAAUCAAGAAAUGCUGAUAUUACCGUCAAGUUAUUGCCUUAUUGUACGAAGCUCCCAGUUACCCUCACCGUCAAUAAGCCGUAAUUCCACAGAAUGGAAUGGUAUUAGAGCAGGACGCUGUGAGGACGUAACAACUGUGAUGUUCAUGUCAUGAGCAAGCCUAUAAAGUUGUUCCUCGACAUCAACACUCGUGGCAUUCGUACACUCAUCAAGAAUACCAAAUUUAGGCUUGUGAAAGAAUAGCCGCGCCAUACCUAAUCUCUGUUGUUCUCCAAGAGAGAG